Zea mays is the source of this 1040-nucleotide long non-coding RNA. RefSeq lists it as uncharacterized. The record is from RefSeq and is a predicted model, not a curated record. NCBI's taxonomy places the organism in Eukaryota, Viridiplantae, Streptophyta, Magnoliopsida, Poales, Poaceae. The transcript has 2 exons.
AUUCACACGGUGUCGAUCCCAAACCUUAACCCUUUCAACGGUUCCACUCCACCACCAACCCCAUGCGUCGGCGCCCGUCGCGGCACCCAACCCCUCCCUCCUCCGUCUGCUCCCGGUCCUCGCGCAGCCGCAACCUCCCUCAUUGACCCUCACCACCUGCAUCCCAAGCGUCGUGCAGAUCGAAACCAAGGGGGCAGGCAGCGACGGUGGUUUAGAGUCCGCCGUCGAUGGCCCUGCGAGGAACAGAUAGAUUCGCUUGGUGUCCGGGCGGCUCCGCGUUGCCGAAUCCGAUAGCAUCGUGGAUUUGGCGGUAGGAAAAGGGCUUGGUAGUAGAGGUGGAGGACAAUGGCGUUCAUGGUCCUAGAACUAAGCGUGAUGGUCUCCUCAGGCAUUGGCUUCGUGGGUGGCUGGUUCUUCCCGUCAUAGAUCAGAAGAAGCCUCGAGUUGUCAAAAAGUUCAUCAGCGUUGCUUGAAUCCCACGAAAUGGCCGCUGGUUCUUCUCAUUUCUUGGCAUAUAUAGUAUGUCAAAACUUGAACCUUUAGGACACCUGUUGCUAGCACCUGAGGCUUUAAACGAAUCUCAAUCACUUGUGCUCAUAUUGGUUUUGGUACAGGUCACAAUUGGUCCAACCGUCCAAGCAAUGUCCAAUGUGAGAGCGUGGAAUUCCAUGGACCAAAGCAAAUUAGCAAGGAAUCAUAAAAGCAUAUGGAGGGACUAUGUAUAGACUACAAAGAAGCAAAAGAAACAUUUUAUGCUAGUUUAGACAUAAUGCAUCAUUCUCUAAUAGAUGCUUAGGCUUACCUUUUAGCAUAAUGUACACUAAACAAGUGCCUUUAUGAUGAUCGUGACUUCUGCAUUUUUAAAUGAAUUUUACGACACUUUUUGUUGUGUUGUACGCUACAAUUAUCUCAAAUCACUUCUUCUUGUGUUUUACGCCAAUUUACCACAUUUCCUGAUAUGUUUUACAUCAAUUUACGACACUUUUUUAUGUCUUUUACAACAGUUUCAUAUUUUUUAAUUUAAACCAUGUGUUGCCUUC